UGUCCACCAGAGGGCGUCUGAAUUCCAGUUUUGCUCUCAUCGCAUAAUGUUCUCAUGCCUACAGUAUAUCUGCUAAUCAUGCAGCGGAGGUACAGUAGUCUUUCUGCUGGCUAGGGAAAGACUUAAUGAUAUGUCGAUGAAAAACUCAACUUUAGGGCAGUACGAGAAUUGUAAAUGGUGUCGAUGGAAACAAAAAUCUACCAAACAGCUCUUUCAUGCUCUUGAGGUACAAUUGUUUAUGAACCAGACGUUUGGGAGAAACAAUGCGCAGCGGCCCGAGCCACGAGUAUUCACUGUUCAGCUUGUAAAGACAGUAUGCCAGGAUGACUAAAGAGAUAAGGGGCCCAUCUCGAAUCCCCAUGGAGACUGGAUUUCCCCUGAGACCGCAUCUUUCCCGGAGGAUGACUGCGUAAAGUGUCACUAGAUCUUGGAGGCAAGUGUUUUUAAGACUUUAAGGCUUUUCUUGCGGCUCGAUUUCUUUAAUUACACACCGUCCCGUGGUGUAAUUCUUAAUCUUUCUAACAGAUAAAGUUUAAAG
Molecule: long non-coding RNA, 538 nt
Filed under: Lepisosteus oculatus (spotted gar)
Lineage: Eukaryota; Metazoa; Chordata; Actinopteri; Semionotiformes; Lepisosteidae
Description: lncRNA (ENSLOCG00000021009.1)
Source: RNAcentral